UCAGGCCAAAAUGAUAAGCACUCGAAACUUCUGGCUCGAGAUUUUCAGGGUGAAUGAGAAGGGCGAUUGUACCGCACCAUUCUCAUUGAAAGAAUGUAAAAUGGAAUGGGCGAUUAGUCUGCACCACUCAAGUAGCAAGAACAUUGAAAUACGCAGAGCAGGGUGGGCGAUUAUACCGCUCCACCUGAAAUUUGCAGUAAAAGUAGAUCUGCAGUCCAAGAUAGGCGAUGAUACCGCACCAUCUUGGAUCGCAGUAAGAUGAAAUUUGCAGUUCAAGAUGGGCGAUUUUACCGCACCAUCUUGGAUUGCAGUAAAAUCAAUAUAAAUACUAUGUUAGUAAUCAAUAUCCAAACCAAACAAGUAAUCAAAGAUGUAUGUAACCGCUAGUUGGAGAACUACGAACAGGCAUGGAGCAAAUAGUUCGUUGUGAGGAUAUACCGCGCAGUUGAGGCAGAUGAAGAAGAUGAACAGGAAAAACCUUAGAGGAAACAUUUUUUUUUUGUUCGGCGGAGAGAAAUGAGAGAAUGAUUUCCUUUAUUGUUUAGUGAAUGUAAAUGAGACAUGGUUAUACUUAGAGACUCGUGCUGAUAACGUGUUAUAAAAAUGUAAAAGUUAUAGAGAGAUAACCUUUAUUUGGGACAGGAAUGAAGCAGUUGCAGAGUAUUAUACCAACACAAGCUGUUGCAGAGGAAGUAAUGUAUAUUAUUGCUAUUAGAUAUUUUUCUUUUCCUUUUUCUCUCUCUGCUUUGUUAAACAUUCGUAAAGCUCUAUUUAUAGAGCAUCGCCAUGGAAACAAACAAAAACACUGUUAAACAUAUGACAUGUUUACAGUAUGCAUGUGGGCAUACAUAUUAUACUAUUUACAACACUGACCAUUUAUUUAUUUAUUUUCUACAACAAUCUAGUGCAUUACAUUAAAUCAUGACUACAUUGUUAUUCAGGAUAAAUUAUUCUCCUUAUAUAUAAUAGUAAAACAUCUCUACUAAUUUACCUAUAUAAAUAGUAUUGCCCGAUAGUUGGUUAUUUACCUACAGUUUAUACACAUUCUCAUAUUUCUUUUGGCAAUUUACCUAUGAUAUAUGCAAAUAAUAUUUUCAUAUUUCGUUGGUAUUUUACCUAUAAUGCAAGUAGGUAAAUUGUGUACGUGAUACCAAUUUACCUACAUUUUUUAUGUGAACCAAAUAUUCUACACUGUAUAUGUAAAUAAUUUACCUAUAGUUGGCUUUUUUUUCUUUUUCUUUAUCCUAAAAUUAAUUUACUUGCAACUUUAUCUCCAUUAAUUUAUAUACUUUUACUUUGACAACAAUUUUUUUUAUAUAUUUUUAAAUUACAAUAAUUCACCUAUAUAUAAUAUGGAUGUUGUGGUCUAUUUUAUCUGACAGAGGGACUAGGGCCGGCGACAGAGAGAGAGAGGAGAGAGAUGUGUGUUUGUAAAAUUGUAGGGGAAUGUGUGUGUUGUUAUCUCUCCUACAUUGUGCCUU
RNAcentral lists this long non-coding RNA (1481 nucleotides) under Malus domestica (apple). Its description in RNAcentral is "long non-coding RNA (MDOM_LNC019804)". Lineage: Eukaryota; Viridiplantae; Streptophyta; Magnoliopsida; Rosales; Rosaceae. The record is from RNAcentral.